This 209-nucleotide long non-coding RNA is filed under the name Physcomitrium patens. Its description in RNAcentral is "long non-coding RNA (PPAT_LNC010991)". Lineage: Eukaryota; Viridiplantae; Streptophyta; Bryopsida; Funariales; Funariaceae. The record is from RNAcentral.
AGUUAGUCUGGAGUGCCAGAUUGUGAGAGUCGUAAGCCGAGAGCUAGACUGUGAGAGUCAUAAUUCUGUGUGAUGAAUUGAGAAAUUGAAUACAAUAGGUAAGCUGGAGAUUAGUAAUUGAAUAUAUCUAAAUCACAAAGAGAGUAAGUGGGAGAUGAAUGGAUAAGAAUAUGGAAGUAUUGUUGAAUUGAUAGUCGUAGAAUGGAUUA